RNAcentral lists this ribosomal RNA (1009 nucleotides) under Staphylococcus aureus. RNAcentral's name for it is "bacterial SSU rRNA". It matches the Rfam family "Bacterial small subunit ribosomal RNA", at positions 1 to 991 of the family's 1533-position model. The record is from RNAcentral. Lineage: Bacteria; Bacillati; Bacillota; Bacilli; Caryophanales; Staphylococcaceae.
UUUAUGGAGAGUUUGAUCCUGGCUCAGGAUGAACGCUGGCGGCGUGCCUAAUACAUGCAAGUCGAGCGAACGGACGAGAAGCUUGCUUCUCUGAUGUUAGCGGCGGACGGGUGAGUAACACGUGGAUAACCUACCUAUAAGACUGGGAUAACUUCGGGAAACCGGAGCUAAUACCGGAUGAUAUUUUGAACCGCAUGGUUCAAAAGUGAAAGACGGUCUUGCUGUCACUUAUAGAUGGAUCCGCGCUGCAUUAGCUAGUUGGUAAGGUAACGGCUUACCAAGGCAACGAUGCAUAGCCGACCUGAGAGGGUGAUCGGCCACACUGGAACUGAGACACGGUCCAGACUCCUACGGGAGGCAGCAGUAGGGAAUCUUCCGCAAUGGGCGAAAGCCUGACGGAGCAACGCCGCGUGAGUGAUGAAGGUCUUCGGAUCGUAAAACUCUGUUAUUAGGGAAGAACAUAUGUGUAAGUAACUGUGCACAUCUUGACGGUACCUAAUCAGAAAGCCACGGCUAACUACGUGCCAGCAGCCGCGGUAAUACGUAGGUGGCAAGCGUUAUCCGGAAUUAUUGGGCGUAAAGCGCGCGUAGGCGGUUUUUUAAGUCUGAUGUGAAAGCCCACGGCUCAACCGUGGAGGGUCAUUGGAAACUGGAAAACUUGAGUGCAGAAGAGGAAAGUGGAAUUCCAUGUGUAGCGGUGAAAUGCGCAGAGAUAUGGAGGAACACCAGUGGCGAAGGCGACUUUCUGGUCUGUAACUGACGCUGAUGUGCGAAAGCGUGGGGAUCAAACAGGAUUAGAUACCCUGGUAGUCCACGCCGUAAACGAUGAGUGCUAAGUGUUAGGGGGUUUCCGCCCCUUAGUGCUGCAGCUAACGCAUUAAGCACUCCGCCUGGGGAGUACGACCGCAAGGUUGAAACUCAAAGGAAUUGACGGGGACCCGCACAAGCGGUGGAGCAUGUGGUUUAAUUCGAAGCAACGCGAAGAACCUUACCAAAUCUUGACAUCCUU